RNAcentral lists this ribosomal RNA (384 nucleotides) under Klebsiella pneumoniae. RNAcentral describes it as "bacterial SSU rRNA". It matches the Rfam family "Bacterial small subunit ribosomal RNA", at positions 1160 to 1533 of the family's 1533-position model. The record is from RNAcentral. RNAcentral also lists the same sequence under 1 other name. Lineage: Bacteria; Pseudomonadati; Pseudomonadota; Gammaproteobacteria; Enterobacterales; Enterobacteriaceae.
AAACUGGAGGAAGGUGGGGAUGACGUCAAGUCAUCAUGGCCCUUACGACCAGGGCUACACACGUGCUACAAUGGCAUAUACAAAGAGAAGCGACCUCGCGAGAGCAAGCGGACCUCAUAAAGUAUGUCGUAGUCCGGAUUGGAGUCUGCAACUCGACUCCAUGAAGUCGGAAUCGCUAGUAAUCGUAGAUCAGAAUGCUACGGUGAAUACGUUCCCGGGCCUUGUACACACCGCCCGUCACACCAUGGGAGUGGGUUGCAAAAGAAGUAGGUAGCUUAACCUUCGGGAGGGCGCUUACCACUUUGUGAUUCAUGACUGGGGUGAAGUCGUAACAAGGUAACCGUAGGGGAACCUGCGGUUGGAUCACCUCCUUACCUUAAAGAA